GAUGAACGCUAGCUACAGGCUUAACACAUGCAAGUCGAGGGGUAACGAGAGGAAAGCUUGCUUUCCUUGUCGACGACCGGCGCACGGGUGAGUAACGCGUAUCCAACCUGCCCCCAACUAGGGAAUAACCUUGCGAAAGUAAGACUAAUACCCUAUAAUUUCCUCAGAUGUCAUCUGACGAGGAAUAAAGAUUUAUCGGUUGUGGAUGGGGAUGCGUCUGAUUAGCUUGUUGGCGGGGUAACGGCCCACCAAGGCAACGAUCAGUAGGGGUUCUGAGAGGAAGGUCCGCCACAUUGGAACUGAGACACGGUCCAAACUCCUACGGGAGGCAGCAGUGAGGAAGAUUGGUCAGUGGGCGGAAGCCUGAACCAGCCAAGUAGCGUGCAGGAUGACGGCCCUAUGGGUUGUAAACUGCUUUUAUACAGGAAUAAAGUUAGCCACGUGUGGUUAUUUGUAGGUACUGUAUGAAUAAGGACCGGCUAAUUCCGUGCCAGCAGCCGCCGUAA
RNAcentral lists this ribosomal RNA (506 nucleotides) under uncultured bacterium. RNAcentral's name for it is "partial 16S ribosomal RNA". It matches the Rfam family "Bacterial small subunit ribosomal RNA", at positions 28 to 523 of the family's 1533-position model. The record is from RNAcentral.